RNAcentral lists this unclassified non-coding RNA (204 nucleotides) under Thelephora penicillata. Its description in RNAcentral is "ITS1". The record is from RNAcentral. Lineage: Eukaryota; Fungi; Basidiomycota; Agaricomycetes; Thelephorales; Thelephoraceae.
CUGAGCUGUCGACACGAGCUGUUGCUGGUCCUCAAACAUUGGGGGCAUGUGCACGCUCUGUUCACACAUCCACUCACACCUGUGCACCCUCUGUAGUUCUAUGGUCUGGGGGACGCUCGUCUUCCUCCUGUAGUUCUACGUUUUUACACAUACACCGUAGCAAAGUCUUUUGGAAUGUACAUCGCGUUUAACGCAAUACAAUAC